RNAcentral lists this ribosomal RNA (253 nucleotides) under uncultured bacterium. Its description in RNAcentral is "partial 16S ribosomal RNA". It matches the Rfam family "Bacterial small subunit ribosomal RNA", at positions 524 to 776 of the family's 1533-position model. The record is from RNAcentral.
UACGUAGGGUGCAAGCGUUAAUCGGAAUUACUGGGCGUAAAGCGUGCGCAGGCGGUUGUGUAAGACAGAUGUGAAAUCCCCGGGCUCAACCUGGGAACUGCAUUUGUGACUGCACAGCUGGAGUGCGGCAGAGGGGGAUGGAAUUCCGCGUGUAGCAGUGAAAUGCGUAGAGAUGCGGAGGAACACCGAUGGCGAAGGCAGCCCCCUGGGUCGACACUGACGCUCAGGCACGAAAGCGUGGGGAGCAAACAGG